CCCCUCCACACACCGACACACACACACACACCCUCCUCCUCUGCUUUCCCUCUAACGCUACACAUAUUCUAUCAUUGCCUCAGCUCGCUCCCAAAACCUUUUUUCCUCUCCUUUCUCGUAUAUUCACGUUUUUUUAUUAUAUUAUUUAAAGGCGUUUAUCCGAAAAUUCACUUUGUAUCACAAUUUUGCCUUUUUUUGUUAUUUAUUCUCACUUAAACCCUAUAAUAUAGUUUAUAACCCUAUAUUCGUCUCUGGUCAGAUGAAUCCAGCUGCAACACGAUCAAAUCCAGCUGGUAAUCUAACAAUAAACAGUUAAGAAAUGUCGUUUUGGUUAGGUGUUAAUUACUAUAUUAAAAUUAGCUCCAGGUUGAUAUUUUUGAUCAAUUCUGGCCUUUUUCCUUCAUCCAAAUGUGAGCAACAACUAGGAAAGAGAACACAGACGAAGAUCUACUUUGGAUCCAAGUUUCCGGCCGAAACUUCGCAAUAAUCGUUAAAUGUUAGGUUGUAUUCCCGGUCAAAGACUCUCUGGGAAAAGGAAAGAGGAUACGAUGCAGUCUUGGAAGUGGGACUCUGUGGUUGGAGGCAGCAGAGCCACCCUGUGAGUCCUCCUCAGACCACAUGGCUGAUGCGCGUAACGCAGCUCACGCGCUCAGGUUGUCGGUGUGCAGAGUUCGGCUGAUCCGCUCCUGUCAGGAACGAGACCCGGGGCUCCGAUUUUCCUCCACACCACAUUCACAUCACACACACACGUGCACGACAAGAAGCCCCUCGUGCACGCUCUCACACACUCCCACACUUGCCUAUCGAUUUGCAUGUGACUUCAUCAGUAAAAGAGCGAGAACCGAGUUCCAAAAACAAGAGUGAAAAGAGGCAAACGGGUAUGAAAAAUCAAAAAGAAAAGAUGGACAAACAAAGUGGGGGUAAAGAGUAGCAGAAGGAACGGAGGCAGGGCGGAGGGAUCGCACAUUUCACACACAGAGAGAGACGAUCGGAGAACAAAACUGCCCCCAUCCAGAAGAGGAUUUUUGGUUUUUAUUACCGUGGUUAACACACGGCGGUGACGAAGCCCCUUUUUGGAUGUGGCGAGUGUCAAAUCUGUGAAAAAAGCCCAAAAAACCAGAAAGCGAGAGGCGCUCCCCUCGCCUCCCCGGACUCUCACGGACCUACAGGCUGGACUUGGAGCACCCUUUCCGGGCUGCGCUCAUGUGGAGCCGCCGCUGCUCUCCGUCCGCUCACCGCAGCGUUUCCUCCCAACAUUUGUGCCUAAAAACACGUUUCUCAACAACCACAGCCCCGGUCACAGAUCCCCCCCGGUCCCACCGAAAAGCACAUAUCUGUCUGAAAACCGUGCUGCUGCUUUUUUUCCUCCAACGAUCAGCACGCUCGGAGUGGAUCGCCUGUCUCUGUUUCUUAUCUGUGAGGACGAGAGGACGGACGCUCGUGUAAACACAGGAGUCGGGUGUCCGGCUCUGCCUGUGUCUAGGGUGGAUAGGGCAGCACAGCCAGGUGCAAUGGGAGCGCCCUCUUAUGUUCAGCCUGACCGCCGGGAUCAAGCUGCAGCGCCUGCGGAUGCGCCGCUCUCCUCUUCCUCUCCAGAUCAGACUUUCAAAAAAAUAUCGAAAUCAAGUCAGGAGUGGGCAGUUUUAUACGCUAGAAAUUUAAUCACGUGUCUAAACGUUUAAAUGUUUUAAUUCAAAUCCUCUCAACUUUUAAAAGUGACAGAAAAAGACGUUUGAUGUGAGGAAAAGCAAACGUGCGUCACAGAUCAGACUUGAACUUGACAUUAUAUAGCAGGACGUUCUGCAUACAUGUUGCAUAAAUUAUAAGAAUAUUAUCUUGAUAUUUUCUAUAAAAAAAUUAAAAAAACAUGUUUUAAUGCUUUUUGUGUCUACAUAAUAAAAAAUGUCUUAUUUUAAAUAUUUUACUUCACCCUUUUUUCCCUUAACCCUUUCUCCAAAAUAUUCCAGUCCUCUGUGUUUUUUCAUCUUUUUUAAGUCCUCGUGUCACGUUCGCUUCACGGAAAAUGUUUUUGAAUGAAAAUGCAUCUCAAUGUAGUAAAUAUUUAGUUUGCCCAAAUGCAGAGCAGGGAAUUUCCGUUAUUUUUGCAGCAUCUUUGUCAUAUUUUUGCAGGAUUCGACCACAUGUUACAUCAUUCUGCAGGAUUUUUCUGUUACAAAUUCAGAGCAUCCUUACUGUAAAACCCACUCUCACUGUUUUCCAACUCGUGUCUUUUCUGUUUUUUAUGCUGAAUAUUUUUGUCUACGUUUGAAGAUGAAAACCCCCUUUUGUCUGUAAGAAAUCUUAUUAUUUUUGCAGUGAAAUGCGUUUUAUUUGUCUGGAUUUUAUGAUUUACAUUUAUUUGAACACGUUGUACAAAAAUAUUCGUUUAUUUAUCUAAAUAAAGAUGCACCACCUCA
This is a long non-coding RNA of Nothobranchius furzeri (turquoise killifish), 2417 nucleotides long. RefSeq lists it as uncharacterized. NCBI's taxonomy places the organism in Eukaryota, Metazoa, Chordata, Actinopteri, Cyprinodontiformes, Nothobranchiidae. The record is from RefSeq and is a predicted model, not a curated record.